RNAcentral lists this transfer RNA (72 nucleotides) under Camelus bactrianus (Bactrian camel). It matches the Rfam family "tRNA". From Rfam's summary of the family: Transfer RNA (tRNA) molecules are approximately 80 nucleotides in length. The record is from Rfam by way of RNAcentral. Lineage: Eukaryota; Metazoa; Chordata; Mammalia; Artiodactyla; Camelidae. RNAcentral also lists the same sequence under 2 other names.
GAGGGUGUAGCUCAGUGGCAGAGCACGUGCCCAACAUGCACAAGGUCCUGGGUUCAAUCCUCAAUGCCUCCA